GACACGCUGGCGGCGUGCUUAAUACAUGCAAGUCGAGCGAGGCCUUGGAAUUGGAGUCCUUCGGGAUGAAGAGUCCUUGGCCUAGCGGCGGACGGGUGAGUAACGCGUGGGCAACCUACCCCAAAGUCCGGGAUAACAGUGGGAAAACCGCUGCUAAUACCGGAUGGCUUUACCUGAGGGCAUCCUUGGGUAAAGAAAGGUUACGCUUUGGGAUGGGCCCGCGUCCCAUUAGCUAGUUGGUGAGGUAACGGCCCACCAAGGCCACGAUGGGUAGCCGGCCUGAGAGGGUGAACGGCCACACUGGGACUGAGACACGGCCCAGACUCCUACGGGAGGCAGCAGUAGGGAAUAUUGCGCAAUGGGCGGAAGCCUGACGCAGCGACGCCGCGUGAGCGAAGAAGGCCUUCGGGUCGUAAAGCUUUUCUGUCCUUGGGGAAGAAGGCGAAAGCUUGACGGUACCCAAGAAGAAAGCCCCGGCUAACUACGUG
RNAcentral lists this ribosomal RNA (488 nucleotides) under uncultured bacterium. RNAcentral describes it as "bacterial SSU rRNA". It matches the Rfam family "Bacterial small subunit ribosomal RNA", at positions 33 to 507 of the family's 1533-position model. The record is from RNAcentral.